RNAcentral lists this ribosomal RNA (459 nucleotides) under uncultured bacterium. RNAcentral describes it as "partial 16S ribosomal RNA". It matches the Rfam family "Bacterial small subunit ribosomal RNA", at positions 338 to 795 of the family's 1533-position model. The record is from RNAcentral.
CCUACGGGUGGCAGCAGUGAGGAAUAUUGGUCAAUGGCCGAGAGGCUGAACCAGCCAAGUCGCGUGAGGGAAGAAUGUCCUAUGGAUUGUAAACCUCUUUUGUCAGGGAGCAAAGUCACCCACGUGUGGGUGUUGUGGAGUACCUGAAGAAAAAGCAUCGGCUAACUCCGUGCCAGCAGCCGCGGUAAUACGGAGGAUUCGAGCGUUAUCCGGAUUUAUUGGGUUUAAAGGGUGCGUAGGCGGGUUAUCAAGGCAGCGGUAAAAUCGUGGAGCUCAACCCCAUCCAGCCGUUGAAACUGAUGUUCUUGAGUGGGCGAGAAGUAUGCGGAAUGCGUGGUGUAGCGGUGAAAUGCAUAGAUAUCACGCAGAACUCCGAUUGCGAAGGCAGCAUACCGGCGCCCGACUGACGCUGAAGCACGAAAGCGUGGGUAUCGAACAGGAUUAGAUACCCGUGUAGUC